RNAcentral lists this unclassified non-coding RNA (297 nucleotides) under Hevea brasiliensis (rubber tree). The record is from RNAcentral. Lineage: Eukaryota; Viridiplantae; Streptophyta; Magnoliopsida; Malpighiales; Euphorbiaceae.
GGUAAUCUAUUUGCUUUCUCUUAGUUUUACUUCAUAUUUAAUUUUCUGAAUUCUCUGUCUAUGUAGUAAGUAGGAGAAAGGCUUGAUGUUGAUGAAUACAUGUUAGAACUUAGGCUACAAGAGGUUUAUAUGGUAGUUCUAGAUCUAGACCAAGACAAAACAAUUGUGAAAGUAUCAGCUGUUAUUGACUCCAAUGCCAUGUUGCGAUUGGGCUUAGUUACCUAAUUUGCUUCCCCCACAUUCCCUCCCCCCUCCCUCUCCCACACAACCACCACCACCCCCCAACCCCAAAGUGAA